CAACCCUCAAGCCUGGCUUGGUGAUGGGGCACUGCUUCUCCCCAGAAGCAGGCCCUGAAAUUCAGUGGCGAGCUCGCCAGGACCCCGAGCGCAGUAGUUAAACCCUCGCUCUGGAAGGCCCUGGCGGUGCCCUGCCGUUAAACCCCCAACUUCUGAAA
This 158-nucleotide unclassified non-coding RNA is filed under the name uncultured Diaporthales. Its description in RNAcentral is "sequence contains ITS2". The record is from RNAcentral. Lineage: Eukaryota; Fungi; Ascomycota; Sordariomycetes; Diaporthales.